RNAcentral lists this long non-coding RNA (2001 nucleotides) under Numida meleagris (helmeted guineafowl). RNAcentral's name for it is "lncRNA (ENSNMEG00000002473.1)". Lineage: Eukaryota; Metazoa; Chordata; Aves; Galliformes; Numididae. The record is from RNAcentral.
ACACCUCGCCUGCCUUUAACUGAAGGCCCGGCGGUUUCUCAGCUGGCUGCACAGACGGGAGCUGCAGUCUCCGUGCUGACUCCAUGCACCUCAUCUCUCUGGAUAUAUAUGGAUGGAUAUAUUCCGUUACUGAUACACUGAGUAUGCAUUGCUGGGGAAGGUUUAUCCAGAGAAUAAGUCGUGAAAACUAUCAGAGAACCCCAGUAAAGUAGAAAGCCCCCUGAAAAGAACUAUGGGUUCUAAUACGGGACCCAGGUGGCAGCAGAGGCCAUGAAAUUAAGGAAAUUCUCUUGUUCUAACGCAGAAACAACAUUCGAUUCCCACACCAUCAGGGACGCAGCUCGAUCAGAGAUAGCUCCGUGACAAUUAAGGCUGGAGAACGCGGCGGCUGCCGGCUGUGAAUGUGUUCUGCAGUUCAGCAGCGCCGCGUCGAGGAUUAACGGCCGUCGUGUUCCUGGGGACGGGUUGGUUUCUCGCUGAGCUCAUCGUGUGCUGUGCUGGAGCUGUGUGUGCAUCCAUCGAGGUCAGGGCGCUGCUGCAGAUUCCUGCCUGGUGCCUGCACCCCUCGGAGGCAGUGGCUGAUUUCACAACCGGCGCAAUGCUGGGACCGGUUUCCAGGUUCUCCUCUCAGUUCCUCACGCCCUUUUGGAAUCCCGAGUUAAUGGACCUGAUCUCAAUUGCCCUGAAUGUAUUCCUCCUCAUGAUAAUUUACAUCAUCUGGAGGAAACUUUCCCCGAAACCGGAGAAUGCGGAGUGGCAGGGAAUCUGGAGAGGGCUGGGAAACGUCUUAGAAGCGUGGGGAGCCCCGGGGUCGUCGCGUCAAGAACGGGAAGAAGCAGCAGCAGCAGCAGCAGGGGAGGAAGGAGAGGAAGAUCCGGGCGAGGGGCCCUCCCCAAAACCCCCGGCACCGAGAAGGGCAAGGGAAGAAACAAAGAGACACGGAGAGGAGAGCGAGGAGGAGGGAGGCACUGCUACCACUGCUCGCCAACCUCUGGAUAGGACUGAGAUCCAAGGCUGGAGAAAUGAGUUUGCGCGGCGCCCGAACGAGGCCGUUGUCUCCUGGUUGGUUCGGUGCUGGGACAGGGGGGCCAGCAGCUUGAUUCUAGAUGGAAACGAAGCUCGCCAGCUGGGAAGCAUUGCCAGAGACUCAGCCGUUGACAGAGGGAUCGGCAGGUGUCUGCCCGGAGCCACCAACCUCUGGGAACGAGUGUUAUUAGCCGUGAAGGAAAGAUAUCCCUUCAAAGACGACCUGGAGCCCGAGAUGAGAAAGUGGCACACUGCUGAAAAGGGCAUCCAGUAUCUGAGAGAAAUGGCCGUGGUGGAAAUGCUGUAUGACCCCAGGUUUGUUCCUAACAACCCGUGCCAGGACCACGAUCCCGAGAGACUGAGAUGUUCUCCAGAUCUCUGGCGGAAACUCACCCGAACAGCAGCAGAAACGUACGCGGGUGCGCUGGCAGCAACCUUUGAGAGAUACGAGGGCCGGCAGAGGAGACCCCCGGUUUUUGAACUGAUGCUUACACUUCAAAACUUGGAGGAAAUCCUCCCCCCCUCUCACGCUUCCAUUUCAGCCGUCACAGAAGUGAAAGAAGAACUGGAGAAAAUGAAGAAGAAUCAGGCCGCUUUACUGGGGGACUUGUCCCUCUUGAUGGAUUGUGACGAACCCGUUUCUGCAGCAUCAGAAGCACCCGAUGGAGAUCAGGAGGAUCUGAGGAGGCUGCUGAAGGAGCUGAUCCGACUGAUUAAAGGUGAAAUCUCCCCUUCACCUGCAUCAUCAAAAGUCUCAGCUCUCCAAGGCAGACGCCUUCCUGCUCGAGCAAAUAAUGACGGCGGUAGAUCCAUGGCCCGAGCCGCCUUGUGGAGUUACUUACGGGAGCAUGGAGAAGACAUGAAGGAAUGGUUUAAGAAACCCACUCCUGUACUACGAGCACGGGUGAGAGAAUUACAGCGCAGAUCAAGCAGCGAGGCCAUUGCCCCAGGUACUGCAGGGAACCCAUAGAGGGG